AUGGCGAAGAAGCGAAGCUCCAACAAAGGAGGGCGACGGGGCAAGAGAGGUGGUGCCGCCAAUGCUGGUGCCCCGCGUCGUUUUGUGUUCAACGAGCAAAAGAAGUUUGACGUUCCUCCAAGCUGCAAAAGUGAUGACCCUGAGGUAAACAGAUUGAACAACAGCUUGGCUGUCUACUACGGGACCAUGGCAACCUGCAGGGAGAACGUGCACGCUCUGCUGGUGGAAGAGCUCCAGGACAGUAACGUGGGUCUGAAACAAGCUGAGGCAAGAUACGAGGGAAUGAAGGUGACCGCGCACAGGAUGAUGGCACAAAUUACAGAUAGGCAGGGCAAGCCGGUGCCUUUCCCUUCCCACUUUAACCAUGCCGUGAAGCUGUAG
RNAcentral lists this ribosomal RNA (381 nucleotides) under Triticum aestivum (bread wheat). Its description in RNAcentral is "partial small subunit ribosomal RNA". Lineage: Eukaryota; Viridiplantae; Streptophyta; Magnoliopsida; Poales; Poaceae. The record is from RNAcentral.